This 26-nucleotide non-coding RNA is filed under the name Neurospora. The record is from RNAcentral. Lineage: Eukaryota; Fungi; Ascomycota; Sordariomycetes; Sordariales; Sordariaceae.
GAGCUGCAGCACGAAAGUGACGGCUC